RNAcentral lists this ribosomal RNA (253 nucleotides) under uncultured bacterium. Its description in RNAcentral is "partial 16S ribosomal RNA". It matches the Rfam family "Bacterial small subunit ribosomal RNA", at positions 524 to 776 of the family's 1533-position model. The record is from RNAcentral.
GACAGAGGAUGCAAGCGUUAUCCGGAAUGAUUGGGCGUAAAGCGUCUGUAGGUGGCUUUUCAAGUCCGCCGUCAAAUCCCAGGGCUCAACCCUGGACAGGCGGUGGAAACUACCAAGCUGGAGUACGGUAGGGGCAGAGGGAAUUUCCGGUGGAGCGGUGAAAUGCGCAGAUAUCGGGAAGAACACCCGUGGCGAAGGCGGCUCUCUGGGACGGUACUGACGCUGAGACGCGAAAGCCAGGGGAGCAAACGGG